RNAcentral lists this ribosomal RNA (405 nucleotides) under uncultured bacterium. RNAcentral describes it as "partial 16S ribosomal RNA". It matches the Rfam family "Bacterial small subunit ribosomal RNA", at positions 30 to 526 of the family's 1533-position model. The record is from RNAcentral.
AUUGAACGCUGGCGGCAGGCUUAACACAUGCAAGUCGAACGAGUGGCGGACGGGUGAGUAAUGAUUGGGAAUCUGGCUAAUGGCGGGGGAUAACUACGGGAAACAGUAGCUAAUACCGCGUACCAUUGGAUGAGCCCAUGUGGGAUUAGGUAGUUGGUGAGGUAAAGGCUCACCAAGGCGACGAACUCUAGCUGGUCUGAGAGGAUGACCAGCCACACUGGGACUGAUACACGGCCCAGACUCCUACGGGAGGCAGCAGUGGGGAAUAUUGCGCAAUUGGGGAAACCUGACGCAGCCAUUCCGCGUGAAUGAAGAAGGCCUUCGGGUUGUAAAGUUCUUUCGGUAGCGAGGCGUUAUCUACAGAAGAAGCACCGGCUAACUCCGUGCCAGCAGCCGCGGUAAUUC